AGGCAUGGGGAACGGAAACCCCACCCGGUUAUAAAGCCCUAAAGGAUCGACCUCGUUCGCAGCCGCAGUUAGGUUGUGAUCGGGGAUCGCAUCGUGGGCCUCUGCGGCUGGUUUGGUUUCCCAUUAUUCUUCGAUGACGAACGCAUCAUCGAAUCAAAACAAGAUUAAAGAGAAGGAAAAAUCAAAGUAUAAUCAAAUGAGGAAGGGUCCGAAACUGAUCCAAAUAAGAAAGGCAGCAGCGGCAGCCGGCUUUGUAUGGCUCGAGGAAGCGCAUAUGGUGUAGAGGGAAGGGAACCCAACGAUCGAGUGAUGCGUGUGGUAGGGUUUCCAUUUAGCUCUUAUAAACGGAUCGGAUGCACGUGCCAUUUCGAGGCUCUCGGCCUCGACAACCACCACUGAUCUUUCUUUAAAUAUUGUUUGAUAUUAAAGUCUCCCUUCGCUAAUAAAUUGUUCAUUUGUCUCC
Molecule: long non-coding RNA, 463 nt
Organism: Musa acuminata AAA Group (dessert banana)
Lineage: Eukaryota; Viridiplantae; Streptophyta; Magnoliopsida; Zingiberales; Musaceae
Exons: 2
Source: RefSeq, a predicted model, not a curated record